Molecule: ribosomal RNA, 253 nt
Filed under: uncultured bacterium
Lineage: Bacteria
Description: partial 16S ribosomal RNA
Rfam family: Bacterial small subunit ribosomal RNA
Source: RNAcentral
UACAGAGGGUGCAAGCGUUAAUCGGAGUUACUGGGCGUAAAGGGCGCGUAGGUUGUGGUGUAAGUGAGUUGUGAAAUACCUGGGCUUAACCUAGGCAUGGCGACUCAAACUGCACGACUGGAGUACUGUAGAGGGUAGUGGAAUUUCCGGUGUAGCGGUGAAAUGCGUAGAGAUCGGAAGGAACACCAGUGGCGAAGGCGGCUACCUGGACAGAUACUGACACUGAAGCGCGAGAGCGUGGGUAGCAAACAGG